GUUUUCCUACGGGGCGCAGCAGUCGGGAAUAUUGCGCAAUGGAGGAAACUCUGACGCAGUGACGCCGCGUAUAGGAAGAAGGUUUUCGGAUUGUAAACUAUUGUCGUGAGGGAAGAAAUUGACAGUACCUCAGGAGGAAGCUCCGGCUAACUAUGUGCCAGCAGCCGCGGUAAUACAUAGGGAGCAAGCGUUAUCCGGAUUUAUUGGGUGUAAAGGGCGUGUAGGCGGGAAAGCAAGUCAGAUGUGAAAACCAUGGGCUCAACCUGUGGCCUGCAUUUGAAACUGUUUUUCUUGAGUACUGGAGA
RNAcentral lists this ribosomal RNA (305 nucleotides) under uncultured bacterium. RNAcentral's name for it is "bacterial SSU rRNA". It matches the Rfam family "Bacterial small subunit ribosomal RNA", at positions 333 to 655 of the family's 1533-position model. The record is from RNAcentral.